GACGAACGCUGGCGGCGUGCUUAACACAUGCAAGUCGAACGGAAAGGCCCUGCUUUUGUGGGGUGCUCGAGUGGCGAACGGGUGAGUAACACGUGAGUAACCUGCCCUUGACUUUGGGAUAACUUCAGGAAACUGGGGCUAAUACCGGAUAGGAGCUCCUGCUGCAUGGUGGGGGUUGGAAAGUUUCGGCGGUUGGGGAUGGACUCGCGGCUUAUCAGCUUGUUGGUGGGGUAGUGGCUUACCAAGGCUUUGACGGGUAGCCGGCCUGAGAGGGUGACCGGCAACAUUGGGACUGAGAUACGGCCCAGACUCCUACGGGAGGCAGCAGUGGGGAAUAUUGCACAUUGGGCGGAAGCCUGAUGCAGCAACGCCGCGUGCGGGAUGACGGCCUUCGGGUUGUAAACCGCUUUCGCCUGUGACGAAGCGUGAGUGACGGUAAUGGGUAAAGAAGCACCGGCUAACUACGU
This 467-nucleotide ribosomal RNA is filed under the name uncultured bacterium. RNAcentral describes it as "partial 16S ribosomal RNA". It matches the Rfam family "Bacterial small subunit ribosomal RNA", at positions 28 to 506 of the family's 1533-position model. The record is from RNAcentral.